GUUAAGCGACUAAGCGUACACGGUGGAUGCCCUGGCAGUCAGAGGCGAUGAAGGACGUGCUAAUCUGCGAUAAGCGUCGGUAAGGUGAUAUGAACCGUUAUAACCGGCGAUUUCCGAAUGGGGAAACCCAGUGUGAUUCGUCACACUAUCAUUAACUGAAUCCAUAGGUUAAUGAGGCGAACCGGGGGAACUGAAACAUCUAAGUACCCCGAGGAAAAGAAAUCAACCGAGAUUCCCCCAGUAGCGGCGAGCGAACGGGGAGCAGCCCAGAGCCUGAAUCAGUGUGUGUGUUAGUGGAAGCGUCUGGAAAGGCGCGCGAUACAGGGUGACAGCCCCGUACACAAAAAUGCACAUGCUGUGAGCUCGAUGAGUAGGGCGGGACACGUGGUAUCCUGUCUGAAUAUGGGGGGACCAUCCUCCAAGGCUAAAUACUCCUGACUGACCGAUAGUGAACCAGUACCGUGAGGGAAAGGCGAAAAGAACCCCGGCGAGGGGAGUGAAAAAGAACCUGAAACCGUGUACGUACAAGCAGUGGGAGCACGCUUAGGCGUGUGACUGCGUACCUUUUGUAUAAUGGGUCAGCGACUUAUAUUCUGUAGCAAGGUUAACCGAAUAGGGGAGCCGAAGGGAAACCGAGUCUUAACUGGGCGUUAAGUUGCAGGGUAUAGACCCGAAACCCGGUGAUCUAGCCAUGGGCAGGUUGAAGGUUGGGUAACACUAACUGGAGGACCGAACCGACUAAUGUUGAAAAAUUAGCGGAUGACUUGUGGCUGGGGGUGAAAGGCCAAUCAAACCGGGAGAUAGCUGGUUCUCCCCGAAAGCUAUUUAGGUAGCGCCUCGUGAAUUCAUCUCCGGGGGUAGAGCACUGUUUCGGCAAGGGGGUCAUCCCGACUUACCAACCCGAUGCAAACUGCGAAUACCGGAGAAUGUUAUCACGGGAGACACACGGCGGGUGCUAACGUCCGUCGUGAAGAGGGAAACAACCCAGACCGCCAGCUAAGGUCCCAAAGUCAUGGUUAAGUGGGAAACGAUGUGGGAAGGCCCAGACAGCCAGGAUGUUGGCUUAGAAGCAGCCAUCAUUUAAAGAAAGCGUAAUAGCUCACUGGUCGAGUCGGCCUGCGCGGAAGAUGUAACGGGGCUAAACCAUGCACCGAAGCUGCGGCAGCGACACUAUGUGUUGUUGGGUAGGGGAGCGUUCUGUAAGCCUGUGAAGGUGUACUGUGAGGUAUGCUGGAGGUAUCAGAAGUGCGAAUGCUGACAUAAGUAACGAUAAAGCGGGUGAAAAGCCCGCUCGCCGGAAGACCAAGGGUUCCUGUCCAACGUUAAUCGGGGCAGGGUGAGUCGACCCCUAAGGCGAGGCCGAAAGGCGUAGUCGAUGGGAAACAGGUUAAUAUUCCUGUACUUGGUGUUACUGCGAAGGGGGGACGGAGAAGGCUAUGUUGGCCGGGCGACGGUUGUCCCGGUUUAAGCGUGUAGGCUGGUUUUCCAGGCAAAUCCGGAAAAUCAAGGCUGAGGCGUGAUGACGAGGCACUACGGUGCUGAAGCAACAAAUGCCCUGCUUCCAGGAAAAGCCUCUAAGCAUCAGGUAACAUCAAAUCGUACCCCAAACCGACACAGGUGGUCAGGUAGAGAAUACCAAGGCGCUUGAGAGAACUCGGGUGAAGGAACUAGGCAAAAUGGUGCCGUAACUUCGGGAGAAGGCACGCUGAUAUGUAGGUGAAGUCCCUCGCGGAUGGAGCUGAAAUCAGUCGAAGAUACCAGCUGGCUGCAACUGUUUAUUAAAAACACAGCACUGUGCAAACACGAAAGUGGACGUAUACGGUGUGACGCCUGCCCGGUGCCGGAAGGUUAAUUGAUGGGGUCAGCGCAAGCGAAGCUCUUGAUCGAAGCCCCGGUAAACGGCGGCCGUAACUAUAACGGUCCUAAGGUAGCGAAAUUCCUUGUCGGGUAAGUUCCGACCUGCACGAAUGGCGUAAUGAUGGCCAGGCUGUCUCCACCCGAGACUCAGUGAAAUUGAACUCGCUGUGAAGAUGCAGUGUACCCGCGGCAAGACGGAAAGACCCCGUGAACCUUUACUAUAGCUUGACACUGAACAUUGAGCCUUGAUGUGUAGGAUAGGUGGGAGGCUUUGAAGUGUGGACGCCAGUCUGCAUGGAGCCGACCUUGAAAUACCACCCUUUAAUGUUUGAUGUUCUAACGUUGACCCGUGAUCCGGGUUGCGGACAGUGUCUGGUGGGUAGUUUGACUGGGGCGGUCUCCUCCUAAAGAGUAACGGAGGAGCACGAAGGUUGGCUAAUCCUGGUCGGACAUCAGGAGGUUAGUGCAAUGGCAUAAGCCAGCUUGACUGCGAGCGUGACGGCGCGAGCAGGUGCGAAAGCAGGUCAUAGUGAUCCGGUGGUUCUGAAUGGAAGGGCCAUCGCUCAACGGAUAAAAGGUACUCCGGGGAUAACAGGCUGAUACCGCCCAAGAGUUCAUAUCGACGGCGGUGUUUGGCACCUCGAUGUCGGCUCAUCACAUCCUGGGGCUGAAGUAGGUCCCAAGGGUAUGGCUGUUCGCCAUUUAAAGUGGUACGCGAGCUGGGUUUAGAACGUCGUGAGACAGUUCGGUCCCUAUCUGCCGUGGGCGCUGGAGAACUGAGGGGGGCUGCUCCUAGUACGAGAGGACCGGAGUGGACGCAUCACUGGUGUUCGGGUUGUCAUGCCAAUGGCACUGCCCGGUAGCUAAAUGCGGAAGAGAUAAGUGCUGAAAGCAUCUAAGCACGAAACUUGCC
This 2770-nucleotide ribosomal RNA is filed under the name Escherichia coli. Its description in RNAcentral is "partial 23S ribosomal RNA". It matches the Rfam family "Bacterial large subunit ribosomal RNA". The record is from RNAcentral. Lineage: Bacteria; Pseudomonadati; Pseudomonadota; Gammaproteobacteria; Enterobacterales; Enterobacteriaceae.